Molecule: unclassified non-coding RNA, 390 nt
Filed under: soil metagenome
Description: partial contains 5.8S ribosomal RNA, internal transcribed spacer 2, and large subunit ribosomal RNA
Rfam family: 5.8S ribosomal RNA (bases 2-121)
Source: RNAcentral
GUGAAGAACGCAGCGAAAUGCGAUACUUGGUGUGAAUUGCAGAAUCCCGUGAACCAUCGAGUCUUUGAACGCAAGUUGCGCCCGAAGCCACUAGGCCGAGGGCACGCCUGCCUGGGCGUCACACGCCGUUGCCCCCCCAUCUACUCCUUCGGGGUUGCGGGGGGGCGGAUGAUGGCCUCCCGUGCGCCUAGCCGCGCGGUUGGCAUAAAUACCAAGUCCUCGGCGACGCACGCCACGACAAUCGGUGGUUGCGAAACCUCGGUUGCCCGUCGUGUGCGUUCGUCGCGCAUCGAGGGCUCGAAAAAAUGCUCGGCUCCGGCUGGGCUUUCAACGCGACCCCAGGUCAGGCGGGGUUACCCGCUGAAUUUAAGCAUAUCAAUAAGCGGAGGA